RNAcentral lists this ribosomal RNA (233 nucleotides) under uncultured bacterium. Its description in RNAcentral is "partial 16S ribosomal RNA". It matches the Rfam family "Bacterial small subunit ribosomal RNA", at positions 103 to 339 of the family's 1533-position model. The record is from RNAcentral.
CGGGUGAGUAACAUAUCGGAACGUGCCUAGUAAUGGGGGAUAACGCAGCGAAAGCUGUGCUAAUACCGCAUACGAUCUACGGAUGAAAGCGGGGGACCUUCGGGCCUCGCGCGAUUGGAGCGGCCGAUGUUAGAUUAGGUAGUUGGUGGGGUAAAGGCUCACCAAGCCGACGAUCUAUAGCUGGUCUGAGAGGACGACCAGCCACACUGGAACUGAGACACGGUCCAGACUCC